Dreissena polymorpha is the source of this 222-nucleotide long non-coding RNA. RefSeq lists it as uncharacterized. NCBI's taxonomy places the organism in Eukaryota, Metazoa, Mollusca, Bivalvia, Myida, Dreissenidae. The record is from RefSeq and is a predicted model, not a curated record. The transcript is spliced from 4 exons.
CAUACGCGGACCUUCGACUUGUUACGAGAGGACCGAUGUGUUUCAGCUGCCCUCAACAAAGUAGGGCGGAUGACUGUGACGCAUUCAACCUCUGUGGAAGAGAUCAGAUGUGUAAGCUGGAACAAAUAACCAUCAGUGACAUCGUUCUCUGGAGAACAUCCUGUGAGGAUGCAAGGACCUGCCAAAUGCUGAUGAACAAUGCAGGCACAAACUGUACAUCGA